RNAcentral lists this ribosomal RNA (2354 nucleotides) under Enterobacter cloacae. RNAcentral's name for it is "bacterial LSU rRNA". It matches the Rfam family "Bacterial large subunit ribosomal RNA", at positions 585 to 2925 of the family's 2925-position model. Lineage: Bacteria; Pseudomonadati; Pseudomonadota; Gammaproteobacteria; Enterobacterales; Enterobacteriaceae. The record is from RNAcentral.
UUUAUGGGGUGACUGCGUACCUUUUGUAUAAUGGGUCAGCGACUUAUAUUCUGUAGCAAGGUUAACCGUAUAGGGGAGCCGAAGGGAAACCGAGUCUUAACUGGGCGUUAAGUUGCAGGGUAUAGACCCGAAACCCGGUGAUCUAGCCAUGGGCAGGUUGAAGGUUGGGUAACACUAACUGGAGGACCGAACCGACUAAUGUUGAAAAAUUAGCGGAUGACCUGUGGCUGGGGGUGAAAGGCCAAUCAAACCGGGAGAUAGCUGGUUCUCCCCGAAAGCUAUUUAGGUAGCGCCUCGUGAACUCAUCUUCGGGGGUAGAGCACUGUUUCGGCUAGGGGGCCAUCCCGGCUUACCAACCCGAUGCAAACUACGAAUACCGAAGAAUGUUAUCACGGGAGACACACGGCGGGUGCUAACGUCCGUCGUGAAGAGGGAAACAACCCAGACCGCCAGCUAAGGUCCCAAAGUCAUGGUUAAGUGGGAAACGAUGUGGGAAGGCACAGACAGCCAGGAUGUUGGCUUAGAAGCAGCCAUCAUUUAAAGAAAGCGUAAUAGCUCACUGGUCGAGUCGGCCUGCGCGGAAGAUGUAACGGGGCUAAACCAUGCACCGAAGCUGCGGCAGCGACGCUUAUGCGUUGUUGGGUAGGGGAGCGUUCUGUAAGCCGUUGAAGGUGUGCUGUGAGGCAUGCUGGAGGUAUCAGAAGUGCGAAUGCUGACAUAAGUAACGAUAAAGCGGGUGAAAAGCCCGCUCGCCGGAAGACCAAGGGUUCCUGUCCAACGUUAAUCGGGGCAGGGUGAGUCGACCCCUAAGGCGAGGCCGAAAGGCGUAGUCGAUGGGAAACAGGUUAAUAUUCCUGUACUUGGUGUUACUGCGAAGGGGGGACGGAGAAGGCUAUGUCAGCCGGGCGACGGUUGUCCCGGUUUAAGCAUGUAGGCGGAGGUUCCAGGUAAAUCCGGUACCUUGUUAACGCUGAGGUGUGAUGACGAGGCACUACGGUGCUGAAGUGAUAAAUGCCCUGCUUCCAGGAAAAGCCUCUAAGCAUCAGGUAACACGAAAUCGUACCCCAAACCGACACAGGUGGUCAGGUAGAGAAUACCAAGGCGCUUGAGAGAACUCGGGUGAAGGAACUAGGCAAAAUGGUGCCGUAACUUCGGGAGAAGGCACGCUGAUGUGUAGGUGAAGCCCCUGCGGGUGGAGCUGAAAUCAGUCGAAGAUACCAGCUGGCUGCAACUGUUUAUUAAAAACACAGCACUGUGCAAACACGAAAGUGGACGUAUACGGUGUGACGCCUGCCCGGUGCCGGAAGGUUAAUUGAUGGGGUUAGCGGCAACGCGAAGCUCUUGAUCGAAGCCCCGGUAAACGGCGGCCGUAACUAUAACGGUCCUAAGGUAGCGAAAUUCCUUGUCGGGUAAGUUCCGACCUGCACGAAUGGCGUAAUGAUGGCCAGGCUGUCUCCACCCGAGACUCAGUGAAAUUGAACUCGCUGUGAAGAUGCAGUGUACCCGCGGCAAGACGGAAAGACCCCGUGAACCUUUACUAUAGCUUGACACUGAACACUGGUCCUUGAUGUGUAGGAUAGGUGGGAGGCUUUGAAGCGUGGACGCCAGUCUGCGUGGAGCCAACCUUGAAAUACCACCCUUUAAUGGCUGGUGUUCUAACGUAGACCCGUAAUCCGGGUUGCGGACAGUGUCUGGUGGGUAGUUUGACUGGGGCGGUCUCCUCCCAAAGAGUAACGGAGGAGCACGAAGGUUGGCUAAUCCUGGUCGGACAUCAGGAGGUUAGUGCAAUGGCAUAAGCCAGCUUGACUGCGAGCGUGACGGCGCGAGCAGGUGCGAAAGCAGGUCAUAGUGAUCCGGUGGUUCUGAAUGGAAGGGCCAUCGCUCAACGGAUAAAAGGUACUCCGGGGAUAACAGGCUGAUACCGCCCAAGAGUUCAUAUCGACGGCGGUGUUUGGCACCUCGAUGUCGGCUCAUCACAUCCUGGGGCUGAAGUAGGUCCCAAGGGUAUGGCUGUUCGCCAUUUAAAGUGGUACGCGAGCUGGGUUUAGAACGUCGUGAGACAGUUCGGUCCCUAUCUGCCGUGGGCGCUGGAGAAUUGAGGGGGGCUGCUCCUAGUACGAGAGGACCGGAGUGGACGCAUCACUGGUGUUCGGGUUGUCAUGCCAAUGGCACUGCCCGGUAGCUAAAUGCGGAAGAGAUAAGUGCUGAAAGCAUCUAAGCACGAAACUUGCCCCGAGAUGAGUUCUCCCUGAGACUUUAAGUCUCCUGAAGGAACGUUNGACGUUGAUAGGUCGGGUGUGUAAGCGCAGCGAUGCGUUGAGCUAACCGAUACUAAUGAACCGUGAGGCUUAACC